Molecule: long non-coding RNA, 566 nt
Organism: Dama dama (fallow deer)
Lineage: Eukaryota; Metazoa; Chordata; Mammalia; Artiodactyla; Cervidae
Exons: 2
Source: RefSeq, a predicted model, not a curated record
CAAACUUCCAACACUAUGUUGAAUAGUAGUCGUGAGAGUGGGCACCCUUGUCUUCUUCUCGAUUUUAGGCCUCCACUUGACUCAUUGCAAAAGACCCUGAUGCUGGGAAAGACUGAAGGCAAAAAGAGAAGAGGGCGGCAGCGGAUGAGAUGUUAAGAUAGCAUCGCCAACUCAAUGGACAUGAAUCUGAGCAAACUCUGGGAGACAGUGAAGGAUAGAGAAGCCUGUCAUGCUGCAGUCCCUGGGGUUACAAAGAGCUGGACUGGACUUAGCAAUUGAAGAGCAACAAUCACAUGACUCAGUGGUUCUAUGGCUGUACAAAGACCACUUUGUUCUGCUCUCUUUUGCCUAGACACCCUAAAUUUUCUAAUGCUCUUUUUGACUAUUUUACCUGUCACAAUGUUGCUUCCUUAGUAAUCUGUAAUCAGGAGACUGUCAUUCUUGGUUGAACCAAAUUCACAGUAGGUGAUCAGAAACGAUGAUUAUUCACACGUAAAUAUUCACUGGUAAAGUUUCUCAUAGGUCGAAGGAAAAUUAAAUAAAGACAUUUAGGUGGUGUAGAAUAA